UGGUCCUAACCUUAUAAUCAAUUUUUACUUAACUUAUACAUGCAAGUAUCCGCACCACUGUGAAAACGCCCUUACUUUCUAAUAGAAACAAGGAGCUGACAUCAGGCACAAUUUUUAGCCCAAAACAUCUAGCCACGCCACAUCCACAAGGAAAUUCAGCAGUAAUUAACAUUGAGUAUAAACGUCAGCUUGACUCAAUUAAAGUAAAAAGAGCCGGCAAAUAUGGUGCCAGCCGCCGCGGCCACACCCUAGACUCAAAUUGAUUUUUUUCGGCGUAAAGCGUGAUUAAAGUUGCUUAACUAUUAUAAUUAAACUAUUACUAAGCUGUUAUACGCUUGUUUAUAAGAAACCCAAAAACGAAAGUUAUUAUAAUUUUAGACUUGAAUUCACGACAACUAGGACACAAACUUGGAUUAGAUACCCUACUAUGCCUAGUCGUAAACUUUAAAUUACAUACAAUCGCCAGAGAACUACGAGCAAAGCUUAAAACCCAAAGGACUUGACGGUACCCCAUAUCCAUCUAGAGGAGCCUGUCCUGUAAUCGACGACCCACGCUAAACCUCACCAUUUCUAGCUUAUCAACCUGUAUACCUCCGUCGUCAGCCCACCUCGUGAGUGAAAUUAAGUGGGCUCAAUGUUUACACAUCAAUACGUCAGGUCAAGGUGCAGUUAAUGAAAUGGAAAGAGAUGGGCUACACUCUCUAGUCUAGAAAAAACGAAAAACUAUUUAUGAAAUUUAGUUGGAAGGCGGAUUUAGUAGUAAAAAGAAACCAUUAAGCUCUUUUUAACCCGGCACUGGGGUGUGUACACACCGCCCGUCACCCUCUUCAAAGCCAAACAAACAGUAUUUAACUAAAUUUAGCACUAAAGAAGAGGCAAGUCGUAACAUGGUAAACGUACCGGAAGGUGUGUUUGGAAU
Molecule: non-coding RNA, 919 nt
Filed under: Isthmohyla picadoi
Lineage: Eukaryota; Metazoa; Chordata; Amphibia; Anura; Hylidae
Description: partial 12S ribosomal RNA
Rfam family: Bacterial small subunit ribosomal RNA
Source: RNAcentral